Molecule: ribosomal RNA, 253 nt
Filed under: uncultured bacterium
Lineage: Bacteria
Description: partial 16S ribosomal RNA
Rfam family: Bacterial small subunit ribosomal RNA
Source: RNAcentral
UACGAAGGGUGCAAGCGUUGUUCGGAAUUAUUGGGCGUAAAGGGUUCGUAGGCGGGAGAGUAAGUUGAGUGUGAAAACCCCGGGCUUAACCUGGGACGUGCAUUCAAGACUGCUUUUCUUGAGUGUGGGAGAGGGUGGUGGAAUUGCUGGUGUAGGAGUGACAUCCGUAGAGAUCAGCAGGAACGCCGGAGGCGAAAGCGACCAUCUGGCCCAAGACUGACGCUGAGGAACGAAAGCGUGGGGAGCAAACAGG